GUGGGGAAUAUUGCACAAUGGGCGCAAGCCUGAUGCAGCGACGCCGCGUGGAGGAUGAAGGCUUUCGAGUUGUAAACUCCUGUUAAGUGGGAAGAAAGACUCCUGGUGAAUAAUCAGGGGGGAUGACGGUACCACUAGAGAAAGCACCGGCAAACUUCGUGCCAGCAGCCGCGGUAAUACGAAGGGUGCAAGCGUUAUUCGGAGUUACUGGGCGUAAAGAGUAUGUAGGCGGUUUGUUAAGUUAGUUGUUAAAUACCACGGCUUAACUGUGGAACGGCAGCUAAAACUGGCAAGCUAGAGCGCAGAAGAGAGGAGUGGAAUUCCCGGAGUAGCGGUAAAAUGCGUAGAUCUCGGGAGGAACACCGGUUGCGAAGGCGGCUUCUUGGUCUGUGGCUGACGCUAAAGUACGAAAGCGUGGGGAGCAAACAGGAUUAGAUACCCUAGUAGUCC
RNAcentral lists this ribosomal RNA (450 nucleotides) under uncultured bacterium. RNAcentral's name for it is "bacterial SSU rRNA". It matches the Rfam family "Bacterial small subunit ribosomal RNA", at positions 354 to 796 of the family's 1533-position model. The record is from RNAcentral.